Molecule: ribosomal RNA, 471 nt
Filed under: uncultured bacterium
Lineage: Bacteria
Description: partial 16S ribosomal RNA
Rfam family: Bacterial small subunit ribosomal RNA
Source: RNAcentral
GACGAACGCUGGCGGCGUGCUUAACACAUGCAAGUCGAACGCUGAAGCUUGGUGCUUGCACUGGGUGGAUGAGUGGCGAACGGGUGAGUAAUACGUGAGUAACCUGCCCUUGACUCUGGGAUAAGCCUGGGAAACUGGGUCUAAUACUGGAUACGACAUGCCACUGCAUUGUGGUGUGUGGAAAGGGUUUUACUGGUUUUGGAUGGGCUCACGGCCUAUCAGCUUGUUGGUGGGGUAAUGGCCUACCAAGGCGACGACGGGUAGCCGGCCUGAGAGGGUGACCGGCCACACUGGGACGGAGACACGGCCCAGACUCCUACGGGAGGAAGCAGUGGGGAAUAUUGCACAAUGGGCGGAAGCCUGAUGCAGCGACGCCGCGUGAGGGAUGACGGCCUUCGGGUGGUAAACCUCUUUCAGCACGGAAGAAGCGAGAGUGACGGUACGGGCAGAAGAAGCGCCGGCUAACUACGU